This 468-nucleotide ribosomal RNA is filed under the name uncultured bacterium. Its description in RNAcentral is "partial 16S ribosomal RNA". It matches the Rfam family "Bacterial small subunit ribosomal RNA", at positions 28 to 507 of the family's 1533-position model. The record is from RNAcentral.
GACGAACGCUGGCGGCGUGCUUAACACAUGCAAGUCGAACGGAAAGGCCCUGCUUUUGUGGGGUGCUCGAGUGGCUAACGGGUGAGUAACUCGUGAGUAACCUGCCCUUGACUUUGGGAUAACUUCAGGAAACUGGGGCUAAUACCUGAUAGGAGCUCCUUCUUCAUGGUGUGGGUUGGAAAGUUUCGGCGGUUUGGGAUGGACUCGCGGCUUAUCAGCUUGUUGGUGGGGUAGUGGCUUACCAAGGCUUUGACGGGUAGCCGGACUGAGAGGGUGACCGGCCACAGUGGGACUGAGAUACGGCCAAGACUCAUACGGGAGGAAGGAGUGGGGAAUAUUGGAAAAUGGGCGGAAGCCGGAAGCAGGAACGCCGCGUGGGGGAUGACGGCCUUCGGGUUGUAAACCGCUUUCGCCGGUGACGAAGAGUGAGUGACGGUAAUGGGUAAAGAAGCAACGGCUAACUACGUG